GUCGUCGCCGCCUGGGUAUGGUGGUGGUGGUUUUGGAGUCGUAGCAGUAACUGCACCGGUGUUAGUACUUCAUGGUGGCUAGGCGACCGGCCCAGCCACUGAUACGGCCCAACAUCAAACCUCACCAGGGAAGCGAAUAUCAUCAAAAAAGAGACCACAAAGAUGCAGGCGCUGAUUGGCUUCAUUGGGAUUGAGUGGUCUCUGGACUUUACUUUCCUUCUCUACGGACAGGCCGAAGGGAAGGGGGCUGCUUAUCUUCAACAGAUGGUUAACUUGCUUGGGUUGGACUUCCUACCCUUUUCCUUUUUUAUACCCUCUCG
This is a long non-coding RNA of Rhododendron vialii, 320 nucleotides long. RefSeq lists it as uncharacterized. The record is from RefSeq and is a predicted model, not a curated record. NCBI's taxonomy places the organism in Eukaryota, Viridiplantae, Streptophyta, Magnoliopsida, Ericales, Ericaceae. The transcript is spliced from 2 exons.